RNAcentral lists this ribosomal RNA (459 nucleotides) under uncultured bacterium. RNAcentral describes it as "partial 16S ribosomal RNA". It matches the Rfam family "Bacterial small subunit ribosomal RNA", at positions 338 to 795 of the family's 1533-position model. The record is from RNAcentral.
CCUACGGGUGACAGCAGUGAGGAAUAUUGGUCAAUGGUCGGGAGACUGAACCAGCCAAGCCGCGUGAGGGAUGAAGGUACAGAGUAUCGUAAACCUCUUUUGUCAGGGAACAAAGGCGGGGACGUGUCCCCGGAUGAGUGUACCUGAAGAAAAAGCAUCGGCUAAUUCCGUGCCAGCAGCCGCGGUAAUACGGAGGGCGCGAGCGUUAUCCGGAUUCAUUGGGCUUAAAGGGAGCGUAGGCGGGCGUUCAAGUCAGCUGUAAAAUCGCGCGGCUCAACCGCGCCCCGCAGUUGAAACUGGAAGCCUUGAGUUCACAACAGGCAGGCGGAAUUCGUGGUGUAGCGGUGAAAUGCAUAGAUAUCAAGAGGAAUACUCAUUGCGAAGGCGACCUACUGGAACAUUACUGACGCUCAUGCACGAAAGCGUGGGGAGCAAACAGGAUUAGAUACCCCGGUAGUC